UCUUGUUUCAUUGUUUAAGCGAUUAAAUCUCUCGAGUAGACGCUGUCUCUUUAGAUGCGAGGGCAAAAUAGCACUUUAUGGACUUCCACAGAGGACAUCAUGUUUAAUACGGUUCCGGAAAAAUCCAGUCAGAAGUUGUUCACGGAGUUUUCACAAUAACUGCUUCUCAUGAACCGAAGCUGGAUUUGCGCGACGUCUCCUCUUGAAAGUUGGAUUACUGUGCACUUCUGGAUCACAGACUAUUCGCAGCUGUACAUAUCCUUCUACACUGUAUGCAAACAUGCAACAUCAUUACACACAGUACAAGGAGUCAGACUGGCAUAUGAGGAGCAAAGGAACCCAGGCAGUAGCAUCGUUUCACAAUGUUUCCAUCACCAUCAUCAGUGGAUGCCUUUGCCGUCCGUAGCCUGAGAUUUCAGAUUUGCAGCAAAAAAAAAAAUGAUUUUCUCAUUUAUUGGAAUGCUGUGCAGGUAUUUGUACCUUGCAGCCAUCCAUUACAAUGUCACCAAGCCGUAACAAAAGCAGGAGAGGGAAAGUACAAGGCUAUGUUCCCAAAACACAAAUGACAUACCUUAUGUGGAGGAUGUGAUCAGGCUUGUGUUUGAUGAGGUAUUUGAAGAUAAGCUGAAGGAAACCCCGAUUCCAAUGGACCUGGCAUCACAGUUUGAGAGACCUUCAAAGGAGGACGUGAUUGCAUGCCAUCUUC
Paramisgurnus dabryanus is the source of this 706-nucleotide long non-coding RNA. RefSeq lists it as uncharacterized. NCBI's taxonomy places the organism in Eukaryota, Metazoa, Chordata, Actinopteri, Cypriniformes, Cobitidae. The record is from RefSeq and is a predicted model, not a curated record.